UACGGGGGGGGCAAGCGUUGUUCGGAAUUACUGGGCGUAAAGGGCUCGUAGGUGGCCAACUAAGUCAGACGUGAAAUCCCUCGGCUUAACCGGGGAACUGCGUCUGAUACUGGAUGGCUUGAGUUCGGGAGAGGGAUGCGGAAUUCCAGGUGUAGCGGUGAAAUGCGUAGAUAUCUGGAGGAACACCGGUGGCGAAGGCGGCAUCCUGGACCGACACUGACGCUGAGGAGCGAAAGCCAGGGAGCAAACGGG
This 252-nucleotide ribosomal RNA is filed under the name uncultured bacterium. RNAcentral describes it as "partial 16S ribosomal RNA". It matches the Rfam family "Bacterial small subunit ribosomal RNA", at positions 524 to 776 of the family's 1533-position model. The record is from RNAcentral.